UUCCAACAUUUUCAGAUGUGUUUCAGGCUUGUUUCAGACAUUUUCACGUGUAUUUCGGGUGUGUUUCAGACAUUUUCAGGUGUAUUUCAGGUGUGUUUAAGGCUUGUUCCAGAUGUGUUUCAGACUUAUUUCAGAUGUGUUUCAGACAUUUUCCUAUGUGUUUCAGGCUUGUUUCAGGCUUGUUUCCAACAUUUUCAGAUGUGUUUCAGGCUUGUUUCCAACAUUUUCAGGUGUAUUUCGGGUGUGUUUCAGGCUUGUUCCAGAUGUGUUUCAGGCUUGUUUCAGGUGUGUUUCAAGCUUGUUUCAGAUGUGUUUCAGGCUUGUUUCAGGUGUGUUUCAGAGUUGUUUCAGGUGUGUUUCAGGCUUGUUCCAGAUGUGUUUCAGGCUUGUUUCAGGUGUGUUUCAGAGUUGUUUCAGAUGUGUUUCAGGCUUGUUUCAGGUGUGUUUCAAGCUUGUUUCAGAUGUGUUUCAGGCUUGUUUCAGGUGUGUUUCAGAGUUGUUUCAGGUGUGUUUCAGGCUUGUUCCAGAUGUGUUUCAGGCUUGUUUCAGGUGUGUUUCAAGCUUGUUUCAGAUGUGUUUAAGGCUUGUUCCAGAUGUGUUUCAGACUUAUUUCAGAUGUGUUUCAGGCUUAUUUCAGAUGUGUUUCAGACAUUUUCCUAUGUGUUUCAGGCUUGUUUCAGGCUUGUUUCCAACAUUUUCAGUUGUGUUUCAGGCUUGUUUCAGACAUUUUCAGGUGUAUUUCGGGUAUGUUUCAGGCUUGUUCCAGAUGUGUUUCAGGCUUGUUUCAGGUGUGUUUCAAGCUUGUUUCAGAUGUGUUUUUAGAGUUGUUUCAGAUGUGUUUCAGGCUUGUUCCAGAUGUGUUUCAGACUUAUUUCCUAUGUGUUUCAGGCUUGAUUCUGGCUUGUUUCCAACAUUUUCAGAUGUGUUUCAGGCUUGUUUCAGACAUUUUCAGGUGUAUUUCGGGUGUGUUUCAGGCUUGUUCCAGAUCUGUUUCAGGCUUGUUUCAGAUGUGUUUCAGGCUUGUUUCAGGCUUGUUUCAGGUGUGUUUCAGGCUUGUUUCAGGUGUGUUUCAGGCUUGUUCCAGAUGUGUUUCAGGCUUGUUUCAGAUGUGUUUCAAGGUUGUUUCAGAUGUGUUUCAGGCUUGUUCCAGAUGUGUUUCAGGCUUGUUUCAGGUGUGUUUCAGAGUUGUUUCAGAUGUGUUUAAGGCUUGUUUCAGAUGUGUUUCAGACAUUUUCCUAUGUGUUUCAGGCUUGAUUCUGGCUUGUUUCCAACAUUUUCAGAUGUGUUUCAGGCUCGUUUCUGACAUUUUCAGGUGUAUUUCGGGUAUGUUUCAGGCUUGUUCCAGAUGUGUUUCAGGCUUGUUUCAGAUGUGUUUCAGACAUUUUCCUAUGUGUUUCAGGCUUGAUUCUGGCUUGUUUCCAACAUUUUCAGAUGUGUUUCAGGCUCGUUUCUGACAUUUUCAGGUGUAUUUCGGGUAUGUUUCAGGCUUGUUCCAGAUGUGUUUCAGGCUUGUUUCAGGUGUGUUUCAGGCCUGUUCCAGAUGUGUUUCAGGCUUGUUUCAGGUGUGUUUCAGGCUUGUUCCAGAUGUGUUUCAGGCUUGUUUCAGAUGUGUUUCAAGGUUGUUUCAGAUGUGUUUCAUGGUUGUUUCAGAUGUGUUUCAGGCUUGUUCCAGAUGUGUUUCAGGCUUGUUUCAGGUGUGUUUCAGACUUGUUUCAGAUGUGUUUCUGACAUUUUAAUGCUUGUUUCAGGUGUGUUUCAGAUGUGUUUCAGGUGUGUUUCAGACAUUUUCAGACUUGUUUCAUGCUUGUUUGAGGCAGGUUUGUGUUUGCUGAGUGUUGCUGGAAGGUUUUGAAUUGAAGUUUGCAGCAGGCUCCAUGACUGACUUGCUCAGCUAUGAACACUGUGAGUAGUGUGAGAUGCUUGCUGCUCACAGAGAUCAGUGCUGCAGCUCAGUGCGCUCCUACUGCCAGCUUUUCAUUUCCUUCUACUGAACCUACUGACAAACUCCUGCAGCGGUCCAUCCAAUUACAGGAGCUCAGAGAAGUUUCUGAUGGUUAUCCGCUGUGUGCGAUACACACAACAGGCCCGUUCCUAUUUGCUGCAGUGGUGCCAACAGUUGGGAGGCUGUUGGAACAGCCGUCCACUUACUCUUUUCUGCGUGUCUGAGAGUGAACAGACAUCCGGAGCUCGUUUCAUUUUUCUGAAAUAUGAAGCUGGAAGGGGGACUCUGGUUGCACUCGAGAAAGGGUCAUUGUGCGGCGUGACCUGACAUGUGAUCUGAAUCCCAGAAUAUCUGAGGACGGGUUGGGUUCAUUGUCCUUUCUCCUGUCUGACACAGAUGCGCAGGCUGCAGGCCGGAAACUGAGGACGUCUGCCUCAAACACCCCGACUCACAUGCACCACGAGCUGCUGCUAGUGCCCCCUGCUGGCUACACCUGCUGUCAGCGCCUUAUCGAGACCUGACCCAAUGAAGACGUUUCUCUAAAGCGAGGACAUUUAAACACAAUCCGGACUUUUUCACUGGGAAAGUUUUAAAGGGACAGUAUUAAUGAUGUUUUGAGAACGGGGACACAUUUACAGACAUCAGCAUACGCCAGCCUGCAGCAACACGGCUCCGAAGGCGUCCAUGGGAAGCCGUACCCAGUUGCCGUCUACGUACCCCGGCCGGAUUACCUGGAGGGGGACGAGGACGCAGACCUC
This is an RNA transcript of Oreochromis aureus, 2700 nucleotides long. It is a transcript of the gene named actin-associated protein FAM107A, with no coding region annotated. The transcript is spliced from 2 exons. The record is from RefSeq and is a predicted model, not a curated record. Lineage: Eukaryota; Metazoa; Chordata; Actinopteri; Cichliformes; Cichlidae.